RNAcentral lists this ribosomal RNA (367 nucleotides) under uncultured bacterium. RNAcentral describes it as "bacterial SSU rRNA". It matches the Rfam family "Bacterial small subunit ribosomal RNA", at positions 1095 to 1460 of the family's 1533-position model. The record is from RNAcentral.
AGCGCAACCCUCGUCUUAUGUUGCCAGCACGUAAUGGUGGGGACUCAUAAGAGACUGCCGGGGUCAACUCGGAGGAAGGUGGGGAUGACGUCAAGUCAUCAUGCCCCUUAUGUCCAGGGCUUCACGCAUGCUACAAUGGCCGGUACAAAGGGCUGCGAUACCGCGAGGUGGAGCGAAUCCCAAAAACCCGGUCUCAGUUCGGAUUGGGGUCUGCAACUCGACCCCAUGAAGUCGGAGUCGCUAGUAUUCGCAGAUCAGCAACGCUGCGGUGAAUACGUUCCCGGGCCUUGUACACACCGCCCGUCACGUCACGAAAGUUGGUAACUCCCGAAGCCGGUGGCCUAACCCUUGUGGAGGAGCCGUCGAA